Molecule: long non-coding RNA, 991 nt
Organism: Vigna angularis (adzuki bean)
Lineage: Eukaryota; Viridiplantae; Streptophyta; Magnoliopsida; Fabales; Fabaceae
Exons: 2
Source: RefSeq, a predicted model, not a curated record
UUUUGCUUAAAUUUCUCAAUUACAUCCAAUCUUUGAAAAAAGUGUUAAAUGCGUCCUCAUUUUGUAAUUUUUGCAUCAAUGAAGUCUCUUCCGUUAAAUACAAAUAAACGGAGUUAAGAGAUUAAUGAUGUGGUAGAAGACGUGUUAUUUUGUAAGUAUAUUUAUGCUGACAUGUUAGUGAAUGGGUGCAGAGAUGGAAUUUAGGGGUGCACGUAGUAUUUUUUGGGUCAGACCCAAGCCCUCUUUCUUUUUUUUUUCUUUUUCAGAAGGUCUCUUCUCCACCUAGCAGCUCUGCUCUCCAACGAUGUCGUGCCUCCUCUGGCUGGCAAAAACUAUCGUCGGUGGCACCGAUCGUCGCUAGAGACACCGCCAGCCACUACGGCGUUCCUCCCUCCGUGCGCGCUUGAGGUAAGCUCUGACACUAACUGACGAGGUUACCAGCGCCGUCAAUGAUGCUCUCCCGCGCAAGCCACCGCCACGGUCAAGCCAUGGUUGUCGACGUCUUCACAAUGCGAGAAGCCCUGUUUGAUGGCGAUGUUGUGGAGGAGAAGAGUGGGCUUGCGUUUGCGGUAUGGUGGCCUCUGUUCUCAGGCGGUUUCGCAACAACAAGGCUUGUGACUGAAGGUUUCGAUUUGGGGCUUUGUUAGGGCUCGAAUUGGAGCUUCUGUUUCUCGCGUUUCACAAGUGAUUUCUGAUUUUGGGAAUUUCUCGGCAAGAGUUUUGUUCUCAUGUUCUUGGUCAUUUUAGGGUUUUUGAUCUUGUUUUGUUUUUGCGAUUAGCGAUUAUGAAGUUUUAGUUUUCGAUUUGGAGGUGGUUCUUUGAUCAGUGUUUCUUUAUUUUGGUUUUCUCCAUUUUGGCUGGGUUUGAAUGUGCAAGUGAUUAUACGAGGAUGAUGGAGAUUUUCUAAGGUAUGAGUGAAGGUGGUGAUAUUGGGUGAUGAAUCUGAGUGUUACUUUUUUUUUGUAAAGAAAGUGAAAGAAGAUGAAAUCAA